AUGUUCCUCUUCCUCUCACACCCUUCAUCCAUCUCCCAUACUCUCCCACCUGCAUUUUGCGCCUGCCCUUCUUCUUCUUCUUCACCACAAACAGCCCCAAGAACCAGCCCGCGCAGCCAUGUAGUACACCGGGCCAACCUACCGCUUCCCCCCCCCCCCGUGCCGGAGACGCUCUACCCCGCCGGGGUGUACGUCGAGAGCACCCUUCGUGUGUGGGCGAUGUCAAGGUGGAGGGGCGCAAGGGGGUUCACCGACUUCUUCCUUGGUGCCGGCUACGGGCACCUCCCUCGGGGAUCUCCAAGGAUGUACCGAGUUGAGGAGGUCAUCCACAACGGGGUUGUGGUUGCUAUCCUUGCCCACUUCACCAACCCCUUCGACGCGUUCUACCUCCUCGGCCGCGUGUUCUAGUGUGGCUGCGAGUUCAUAGCUUUCACCACCCAUAACAUCUUCACGGACUACGACAACGUCUUCCCCACCGACGAGCGCAUGCACACUCUACCGUACCCCAUCAACAACACCGCGGAGGAGCAGUGA
RNAcentral lists this ribosomal RNA (534 nucleotides) under Triticum aestivum (bread wheat). RNAcentral's name for it is "partial small subunit ribosomal RNA". Lineage: Eukaryota; Viridiplantae; Streptophyta; Magnoliopsida; Poales; Poaceae. The record is from RNAcentral.